Molecule: RNA transcript, 12738 nt
Organism: Brassica napus (rape)
Lineage: Eukaryota; Viridiplantae; Streptophyta; Magnoliopsida; Brassicales; Brassicaceae
Exons: 3
Source: RefSeq, a predicted model, not a curated record
CAAGUAACAUAACGUCUAUAUUUUCGUAAUUUACCUACUUGAGAAAUUAAAAAGGGAAACUGUAAGAUGUUGUAAUUUCGUUUUUCUAUAAUUUCCUUUUUCGUAUAUUUCUCUAUAUAAUAUGUAGUGAACUCUCAAAAUUAGUAAUAAACGUCAUUCUUCUUUCUUAGCGCAUUGAUUCCCUAAUUAGUAGUGUUUACAGUCCCAAACCCUAAUUAGGUUCGCGAGAAUGAAGAUGAACAAAUUUGUAAUGACCCACUCCCACCAUCUCCACUUCUUUCUCCAACCCCACCACUUCCACCUUCUUCUCCACCAUCUCCACCAUCUCCACCUUCUUCCCCACCAUCUCUACCUUCUAUAAAACUCAAGAAAAAGAGAAAGAGAGAGAGAGAAGAAGAAGAGGAGAGAAAGCUCACCUGAGCUCGUUGCCGGAGCAACCGUGCGCCGUGAUCACGUUCAGCUUGCCACCACCGAUAAACACCCUAGGUAACCGCCGGAAACCGCAUUCCUUAAGCUCAGUUUCGUUUCCGUUUAGUAAAUCACCCAUAACUUCCUAACCGUGAUGAAUCUCGUGAAUCCAAGACCACCAUCGUGUUUCUCCUGACGAGACGAAUCCGUAGCCACCGAAAACGCCUCAAUCGGAGCCCGGACGAAGCCGCACGCGCCUCCAGAAGUUUCACCACUGCGCGCGCGUGAGGUACACGCGCCGCCGCCGGACCACGGUCAUCCGCCGCAGCUCCGCCGCAGGACCACCGUCCUCCGCCGCAGCUCCGCCGUCGCCGCCGGCCAUAUUUCCGAUUUGGAGUCCAUUUGAGCAGCUGGAGUUCAUAGUUACCACUUCUCUUCAUUGCUAAGGUGAGGGCUAUUCCGUUAAAUCCCGAGCUAGUUUAGUACUACCAUUAUGGAAAGUUUAGUUUCGAAACAUGAUCCGUCUUUGUGAAUCGAGUCUAUUUGAGAGUCUUGUUUGUUCAUUAUUGAUAUUGGUUGUUAACUGGAAUUAGAAUAAUAGAGGAUUCAACGAUUGUGUGAAAUGAUUGAUGCUAAGAACUGCUAUAUAUAUGUAUAUACAUAGUUACGAGUAGGGACUAUGUGAUGAGGGCGUGAGCUCAGAGAUGUCUGAGAUUCGACGCUACAGUGUGGUAUGGGCGUGAGUUCAGAGACGUUUGAGCUUCGACGCUACUGUUUGGGGCGUGGUGCAGAGACGUUUGCAUUCGACGCUACGAUGGGCGGGGGUACAGAGACAGACUGUACUAGCGACGCUUCGAGUAUAUGUAUAUAUCCUUAUGAGGAGAUGCGCGGUGCAGAGAGUAGCUAUGUACUAUAAGCGCAUGAGUUGUAACGACUAGUCCUCUAGCCGAAUAUUGAUUGUUAUGUGUGGUGUAAUAGGCACCGUGUUUGUUUCAUGCUAUUGCUAGGCCUACAUUUUAGUAGUGCUAUGAACUCAGUCUGUGGUUUGCGGUUUAGCAUCCCAUACCUCGCUGGGCAACUCCCCUGUUGCUCACCCCUCCUUCUUUCCCCCUUCCAGGUGAGACCGACGAGCAGGAGUGAUUAUCAGACCGGUGCUUUUGGGCUUUUGGGCUUCUAUCGCUUUUACCGCUUUUAUCGUUAUCGGGCCUUUUGGCGUUAUGCUAUCGUAUUGACUUUUAUAUUAUGGUGGAAAUUAUUAUUAUUAGUUGAGUUGUAUUAUUAUUUUAUUUCCGCUUUUAUCUAUUUAUUAUAUUUCGAAAGUGACGGGUGUUACAUUUUGGUAUCAGAGCUAUUUAUUUAUCGUAACAUUUUAUUAUGUAAAUCGGGGUGUCACAAUUUGGUAUCAGAGCUAUUUAUUUAUCGUAACAUUUUAUUAUGUAAAUAGGGUUGUCACAAUUUGGUAUCAGAGCGGGUUCCGUCCCGGCUCCGACCCGGGAUGGCGAUUUUUGGAGACCUGGUUUUAUUCGGUUUUGACGGUUUUAAACGAUUUCAAAAUAUUUUCGGGGAUUUGAGAAUUUUGAAAAUAAAAAUAAAUAGCACCUUUCCGUUCGAUAUCACUUCUUCUUAAAUGUUGGUAUCCAAAGUUCAGCGUAAGUUAACUAUUCGCUCCCCUUUCAGAUGCCGCCAAGGAGAAGAACCACCCGUACCCAGACCGCCAGAGCUGUUAGAGACGAUGUAGAUGAGCAUGAGCAGCCCGCAGUUCCACCACCCACGGCUCCACCAGUUGAUCAGGAUGCAUUGAGAUAGAUGGUUCAGGAUGCCGCUAGACAGGCCGCUCAGGAGGCACUUCAGCAGAUUGCCCAGGAGGCAGCCAGGCAGGCCGCUCAGGAGGCCGCCCGAGUAGCUGCUCAGGAGGUUGCUCGUCAGAUGGCUGCCGUUCAGCAGGGUCCUCAGGUUCAGGUGCAGCAGGGUCCGCAGAUUCGGGUUCAGCAAGUUCCACUGGUUCAGGUCCAACAGGAUCAGCAGGGUCCAGUUCAGCAGUUUGCUCAUGGUGUUCAGGAUCUACCGCCACCACCACCGCGACCUCAUGUUUACCCGGUUUAUGAUGAGAGGUUCUACAGGCUGACAUGUCAGAUGAGAAACAUGGAGAUGGAGCAUUUUAGCGGAACAGUGGAUGCUGUAGCUGCACAUGAUUGGAAGUUAGCCUUGCAGCGGAAGCUGGAGAUUAUUGAGUGUCCACCAGAGUUGUCGCUCAGAUUGACUAUACAAUACCUUCGUGGAGAUGCUCUUAUAUGGUGGGAGGGAAUACGAUUGAGUCACUUUGGGCCAGGGAGGCUUACCUUUGCAGACUUCAUCCGAAAGUUCGAUAGGAAAUACUUUCCGAAGGAAGCUAUGGAUAGGAAGAAAUGCGUGUUCGAGCAUGCAAGUCAGGGUAAGAUGUCUAUCAGGGAGUAUGAGGUUGUGUUUAACCAACUUCGCAGGUUUGCUGGAGAGGGCAUUUUAGAGGAAGACCUGAUGAGGAAAUUUCUGAAUGGGAUGCGAGUAGAGAUUCGCAACAGGUGCCGUGUCGCCACUUAUCACAGAUUGGGAGACUUGGUGGAGAAAGCUGCCGAGCAGGAGGCAGGUUUGGCAGAGGAGCAGAAGUACACCAAGGCAGAUCAGCCUAAGUUUGGAGGGACUUCAGAGGCACAUCAGAGGACAUGGGACAAACCGAGCAUACAAUGCUUUUAUUGUGGAAAGAUGGGACAUAAGAGUAGGGUUUGUCGGAGUAGGCUAUUUAAUGCCCAGGUUGCGCCACCAGCAGCGGCAGCAGCACCAGUAGUGGAUGUUAGGAACUGUUUUGGUUGUAACAAGCCAGGUCACAUUUCAGAGACUGUCCGAGGAGGGGUAAUGCAGCGCUUCCACCACCACCGAAGCGUUUAGCCAUCGCUCCACGUGUGUUUACGGUUGGAGAUCCCCAGGGAGCUGAGCCGAUAGCGGGCAUGUUCUUAUCAUACUUGCUUGUGUUAAUAUUUGUGGUUUUGUGGUUAUCUUGUAUAGUUCGAGAUUAGUGAAUCUCGCGUAUGAUUGGUUGUGGUUGGUGUGAGUUACUUCACACCUUAUUUGACUUAAGAGAUUUUCAUAGUUUUGUGAGUUCGCGUUUGGUUAAGUUUUAGUCUUUUUGGAGGGAUCUUCUAACCGAAAGAUAAGCAGAUUUAGAUUGUUGUUAUGGAGAGCUUGUUGUUAUGGAGAGUUUGAGAGCGAUCAGGAAUUCAUCGUGAUGUACCUGUUAUCAUUUGAGUAUUAUGAUGGUACCGUCGAAGUUUAUGGUGGGUCUGGUCGUACACCACUUUGUUGGACCGCCAAGUAAGAGCAGAUAAUGGUAUGAUGACUAUGUUGGUCAAGGUUCGUGGGAGAGAGACGGGAUUCAGGAGGAUACCUGGGAGUCCGAGCCCCAAAUGAGGAUUGAUUAUCCAGAGCUGUUUCGGGGUGUCAUUGGAGAGUUUGGUGAUGUGAAUUCGGGGUCGAAUUCCUUGUUAGUGGGGGAGAAUUGUAAUGACCCACUCCCACCAUCUCCACUUCUUUCUCCAACCCCACCACUUCCACCUUCUUCUCCACCAUCUCCACCAUCUCCACCUUCUUCCCCACCAUCUCCACCUUCUAUAAAACUCAAGAAAAAGAGAAAGAGAGAGAGAGAGAGAAGAAGAAGAGGAGAGAAAGCUCACCUGAGCUCGUUGCCGGAGCAACCGUGCGCCGUGAUCACGUUCAGCUUGCCACCACCGAUAAACACCCUAGGUAACCGCCGGAAACCGCAUUCCUUAAGCUCAGUUUCGUUUCCGUUUAGUAAAUCACCCAUAACUUCCUAACCGUGAUGAAUCUCGUGAAUCCAAGACCACCAUCGUGUUUCUCCUGACGAGACGAAUCCGUAGCCACCGAAAACGCCUCAAUCGGAGCCCGGACGAAGCCGCACGCGCCUCCAGAAGUUUCGCCACUGCGCGCGCGUGAGGUACACGCGGCGCCGCCGGACCACGGUCAUCCGCCGCAGCUCCGCCGCAGGACCACCGUCCUCCGCCGCAGCUCCGCCGUCGCCGCCGGCCAUAUUUCCGGUAAGCCGCCGCCGGAGCUCCGCCGUCGCCGGCGGUGACCGACACCGGUGACUCGCCGGCGACUCGCCAACUCGGCCGAGUCGACCCGGUGAGUCAACUCGGUGACUCGGUCAAACCGGUGGUUUGACUGGUUUGACUGGUUUAAAUUGAUUUCAAUUCGGUUAGGUUAAACCGGUCGGUUAAAAUCAAUUGGAAAUCGGUUAGGAAAAACCGGAUUAAUUAAUUAAUUAAUUAAUUAAUUAAAUAAUUAAUCUUUGACCAGCGGGUUGACUUUUCCGUAAAUACCCGUUUUAAACCGUUCAAAAAGCGUUCCGACUCGAAAUUUCGAUCUGAUUUCAGAUUUGGAGUCCAUUUGAGCAGCUGGAGUUCAUAGUUACCACUUCUCUUCAUUGCUAAGGUGAGGGCUAUUCCGUUAAAUCCCGAGCUAGUUUAGUACUACCAUUAUGGAAAGUUUAGUUUCGAAACAUGAUCCGUCUUUGUGAAUCGAGUCUAUUUGAGAGUCUUGUUUGUUCAUUAUUGAUAUUGGUUGUUAACUGGAAUUAGAAUAAUAGAGGAUUCAACGAUUGUGUGAAAUGAUUGAUGCUAAGAACUGCUAUAUAUAUGUAUAUACAUAGUUAUGAGUAGGGACUAUGUGAUGAGGGCGUGAGCUCAGAGAUGUCUGAGCUUCGACGCUACGGUGUGGUAUGGGCGUGAGUUCAGAGACGUUUGAGCUUCGACGCUACUGUUUGGGGCGUGGUGCAGAGACGUUUGCAUUCGACGCUACGAUGGGCGGGGGUACAGAGACAGACUGUACUAGCGACGCUUCGAGUAUAUGUAUAUAUCCUUAUGAGGAGAUGCGCGGUGCAGAGAGUAGCUAUGUACUAUAAGCGCAUGAGUUGUAACGGCUAGUCCUCUAGCCGAAUAUUGAUUGUUAUGUGUGGUGUAAUAGGCACCGUGUUUGUUUCAUGCUAGAGCUAGGCCUACAUUUUAGUAGUGCUAUGAACUCAGUCUGUGGUUUGCGGUUUAGCAUCCCAUACCUCGCUGGGCAACUCCCCUGUUGCUCACCCCUCCUUCUUUCCCCCUUCCAGGUGAGACCGACGAGCAGGAGUGAUUAUCAGACCGGUGCUAUUGGGCUUUUGGGCUUCUAUCGCUUUUACCGCUUUUAUCGUUAUCGGGCCUUUUGGCGUUAUGCUAUCGUAUUGACUUUUAUAUUAUGGUGGAAAUUAUUAUUAUUAUUUGAGUUGUAUUAUUAUUUUAUUUCCGCUUUUAUCUAUUUAUUAUAUUUCGAAAGUGACGGGUGUUACAUUUUGGUAUCAGAGCUAUUUAUUUAUCGUAACAUUUUAUUAUGUAAAUCGGGGUGUCACAAUUUGGUAUCAGAGCUAUUUAUUUAUCGUAACAUUUUAUUAUGUAAAUAGGGUUGUCACAAUUUGGUAUCAGAGCGGGUUCCGUCCCGGCUCCGACCCGGGAUGGCGAUUUUUGGAGACCUGGUUUUAUUCGGUUUUGACGGUUUUAAACGAUUUCAAAAUAUUUUCGGGGAUUUGAGAAUUUUGAAAAUAAAAAUAAAUAGCACCUUUCCGUUCGAUAUCACUUCUUCUUAAAUGUUGGUAUCCAAAGUUCAGCGUAAGUUAACUAUUCGCUCCCCUUUCAGAUGCCGCCAAGGAGAAGAACCACCCGUACCCAGACCGCCAGAGCUGUUAGAGACGAUGUAGAUGAGCAUGAGCAGCCCGCAGUUCCACCACCCACGGCUCCACCAGUUGAUCAGGAUGCAUUGAGAUAGAUGGUUCAGGAUGCCGCUAGACAGGCCGCUCAGGAGGCACUUCAGCAGAUUGCCCAGGAGGCAGCCAGGCAGGCCGCUCAGGAGGCCGCCCGAGUAGCUGCUCAGGAGGUUGCUCGUCAGAUGGCUGCCGUUCAGCAGGGUCCUCAGGUUCAGGUGCAGCAGGGUCCGCAGAUUCGGGUUCAGCAAGUUCCACUGGUUCAGGUCCAACAGGAUCAGCAGGGUCCAGUUCAGCAGUUUGCUCAUGGUGUUCAGGAUCUACCGCCACCACCACCGCGACCUCAUGUUUACCCGGUUUAUGAUGAGAGGUUCUACAGGCUGACAUGUCAGAUGAGAAACAUGGAGAUGGAGCAUUUUAGCGGAACAGUGGAUGCUGUAGCUGCACAUGAUUGGAAGUUAGCCUUGCAGCGGAAGCUGGAGAUUAUUGAGUGUCCACCAGAGUUGUCGCUCAGAUUGACUAUACAAUACCUUCGUGGAGAUGCUCUUAUAUGGUGGGAGGGAAUACGAUUGAGUCACUUUGGGCCAGGGAGGCUUACCUUUGCAGACUUCAUCCGAGAGUUCGAUAGGAAAUACUUUCCGAAGGAAGCUAUGGAUAGGAAGAAAUGCGUGUUCGAGCAUGCAAGUCAGGGUAAGAUGUCUAUCAGGGAGUAUGAGGUUGUGUUUAACCAACUUCGCAGGUUUGCUGGAGAGGGCAUUUUAGAGGAAGACCUGAUGAGGAAAUUUCUGAAUGGGAUGCGAGUAGAGAUUCACAACAGGUGCCAUGUCGCCACUUAUCACAGAUUGGGAGACUUGGUGGAGAAAGCUGCCGAGCAGGAGGCAGGUUUGGCAGAGGAGCAGAAGUACACCAAGGCAGAUCAGCCUAAGUUUGGAGGGACUUCAGAGGCACAUCAGAGGACAUGGGACAAACCGAGCAUACAAUGCUUUUAUUGUGGAAAGAUGGGACAUAAGAGUAGGGUUUGUCGGAGUAGGCUAUUUAAUGCCCAGGUUGCGCCACCAGCAGCGGCAGCAGCACCAGUAGUGGAUGUUAGGAACUGUUUUGGUUGUAACAAGCCAGGUCACAUUUCAGAGACUGUCCGAGGAGGGGUAAUGCAGCGCUUCCACCACCACCGAAGCGUUUAGCCAUCGCUCCACGUGUGUUUACGGUUGGAGAUCCCCAGGGAGCUGAGCCGAUAGCGGGCAUGUUCUUAUCAUACUUGCUUGUGUUAAUAUUUGUGGUUUUGUGGUUAUCUUGUAUAGUUCGAGAUUAGUGAAUCUCGCGUAUGAUUGGUUGUGGUUGGUGUGAGUUACUUCACACCUUAUUUGACUUAAGAGCUUUUCAUAGUUUUGUGAGUUCGCGUUUGGUUAAGUUUUAGUCUUUUUGGAGGGAUCUUCUAACCGAAAGAUAAGCAGAUUUAGAUUGUUGUUAUGGAGAGCUUGUUGUUAUGGAGAGUUUGAGAGCGAUCAGGAAUUCAUCGUGAUGUACCUGUUAUCAUUUGAGUAUUAUGAUGGUACCGUCGAAGUUUAUGGUGGGUCUGGUCGUACACCACUUUGUUGGACCGCCAAGUAAGAGCAGAUAAUGGUAUGAUGACUAUGUUGGUCAAGGUUCGUGGGAGAGAGACGGGAUUCAGGAGGAUACCUGGGAGUCCGAGCCCCAAAUGAGGAUUGAUUAUCCAGAGCUGUUUCGGGGUGUCAUUGGAGAGUUUGGUGAUGUGAAUUCGGGGUCGAAUUCCUUGUUAGUGGGGGAGAAUUGUAAUGACCCACUCCCACCAUCUCCACUUCUUUCUCCAACCCCACCACUUCCACCUUCUUCUCCACCAUCUCCACCAUCUCCACCUUCUUCCCCACCAUCUCCACCUUCUAUAAAACUCAAGAAAAAGAGAAAGAGAGAGAGAGAGAGAAGAAGAAGAGGAGAGAAAGCUCACCUGAGCUCGUUGCCGGAGCAACCGUGCGCCGUGAUCACGUUCAGCUUGCCACCACCGAUAAACACCCUAGGUAACCGCCGGAAACCGCAUUCCUUAAGCUCAGUUUCGUUUCCGUUUAGUAAAUCACCCAUAACUUCCUAACCGUGAUGAAUCUCGUGAAUCCAAGACCACCAUCGUGUUUCUCCUGACGAGACGAAUCCGUAGCCACCGAAAACGCCUCAAUCGGAGCCCGGACGAAGCCGCACGCGCCUCCAGAAGUUUCGCCACUGCGCGCGCGUGAGGUACACGCGGCGCCGCCGGACCACGGUCAUCCGCCGCAGCUCCGCCGCAGGACCACCGUCCUCCGCCGCAGCUCCGCCGUCGCCGCCGGCCAUAUUUCCGGUAAGCCGCCGCCGGAGCUCCGCCGUCGCCGGCGGUGACCGACACCGGUGACUCGCCGGCGACUCGCCAACUCGGCCGAGUCGACCCGGUGAGUCAACUCGGUGACUCGGUCAAACCGGUGGUUUGACUGGUUUGACUGGUUUAAAUUGAUUUCAAUUCGGUUAGGUUAAACCGGUCGGUUAAAAUCAAUUGGAAAUCGGUUAGGAAAAACCGGAUUAAUUAAUUAAUUAAUUAAUUAAUUAAAUAAUUAAUCUUUGACCAGCGGGUUGACUUUUCCGUAAAUACCCGUUUUAAACCGUUCAAAAAGCGUUCCGACUCGAAAUUUCGAUCUGAUUUCAGAUUUGGAGUCCAUUUGAGCAGCUGGAGUUCAUAGUUACCACUUCUCUUCAUUGCUAAGGUGAGGGCUAUUCCGUUAAAUCCCGAGCUAGUUUAGUACUACCAUUAUGGAAAGUUUAGUUUCGAAACAUGAUCCGUCUUUGUGAAUCGAGUCUAUUUGAGAGUCUUGUUUGUUCAUUAUUGAUAUUGGUUGUUAACUGGAAUUAGAAUAAUAGAGGAUUCAACGAUUGUGUGAAAUGAUUGAUGCUAAGAACUGCUAUAUAUAUGUAUAUACAUAGUUAUGAGUAGGGACUAUGUGAUGAGGGCGUGAGCUCAGAGAUGUCUGAGCUUCGACGCUACGGUGUGGUAUGGGCGUGAGUUCAGAGACGUUUGAGCUUCGACGCUACUGUUUGGGGCGUGGUGCAGAGACGUUUGCAUUCGACGCUACGAUGGGCGGGGGUACAGAGACAGACUGUACUAGCGACGCUUCGAGUAUAUGUAUAUAUCCUUAUGAGGAGAUGCGCGGUGCAGAGAGUAGCUAUGUACUAUAAGCGCAUGAGUUGUAACGGCUAGUCCUCUAGCCGAAUAUUGAUUGUUAUGUGUGGUGUAAUAGGCACCGUGUUUGUUUCAUGCUAGAGCUAGGCCUACAUUUUAGUAGUGCUAUGAACUCAGUCUGUGGUUUGCGGUUUAGCAUCCCAUACCUCGCUGGGCAACUCCCCUGUUGCUCACCCCUCCUUCUUUCCCCCUUCCAGGUGAGACCGACGAGCAGGAGUGAUUAUCAGACCGGUGCUAUUGGGCUUUUGGGCUUCUAUCGCUUUUACCGCUUUUAUCGUUAUCGGGCCUUUUGGCGUUAUGCUAUCGUAUUGACUUUUAUAUUAUGGUGGAAAUUAUUAUUAUUAUUUGAGUUGUAUUAUUAUUUUAUUUCCGCUUUUAUCUAUUUAUUAUAUUUCGAAAGUGACGGGUGUUACAUUUUGGUAUCAGAGCUAUUUAUUUAUCGUAACAUUUUAUUAUGUAAAUCGGGGUGUCACAAUUUGGUAUCAGAGCUAUUUAUUUAUCGUAACAUUUUAUUAUGUAAAUAGGGUUGUCACAAUUUGGUAUCAGAGCGGGUUCCGUCCCGGCUCCGACCCGGGAUGGCGAUUUUUGGAGACCUGGUUUUAUUCGGUUUUGACGGUUUUAAACGAUUUCAAAAUAUUUUCGGGGAUUUGAGAAUUUUGAAAAUAAAAAUAAAUAGCACCUUUCCGUUCGAUAUCACUUCUUCUUAAAUGUUGGUAUCCAAAGUUCAGCGUAAGUUAACUAUUCGCUCCCCUUUCAGAUGCCGCCAAGGAGAAGAACCACCCGUACCCAGACCGCCAGAGCUGUUAGAGACGAUGUAGAUGAGCAUGAGCAGCCCGCAGUUCCACCACCCACGGCUCCACCAGUUGAUCAGGAUGCAUUGAGAUAGAUGGUUCAGGAUGCCGCUAGACAGGCCGCUCAGGAGGCACUUCAGCAGAUUGCCCAGGAGGCAGCCAGGCAGGCCGCUCAGGAGGCCGCCCGAGUAGCUGCUCAGGAGGUUGCUCGUCAGAUGGCUGCCGUUCAGCAGGGUCCUCAGGUUCAGGUGCAGCAGGGUCCGCAGAUUCGGGUUCAGCAAGUUCCACUGGUUCAGGUCCAACAGGAUCAGCAGGGUCCAGUUCAGCAGUUUGCUCAUGGUGUUCAGGAUCUACCGCCACCACCACCGCGACCUCAUGUUUACCCGGUUUAUGAUGAGAGGUUCUACAGGCUGACAUGUCAGAUGAGAAACAUGGAGAUGGAGCAUUUUAGCGGAACAGUGGAUGCUGUAGCUGCACAUGAUUGGAAGUUAGCCUUGCAGCGGAAGCUGGAGAUUAUUGAGUGUCCACCAGAGUUGUCGCUCAGAUUGACUAUACAAUACCUUCAUGGAGAUGCUCUUAUAUGGUGGGAGGGAAUACGAUUGAGUCACUUUGGGCCAGGGAGGCUUACCUUUGCAGACUUCAUCCGAGAGUUCGAUAGGAAAUACUUUCCGAAGGAAGCUAUGGAUAGGAAGAAAUGCGUGUUCGAGCAUGCAAGUCAGGGUAAGAUGUCUAUCAGGGAGUAUGAGGUUGUGUUUAACCAACUUCGCAGGUUUGCUGGAGAGGGCAUUUUAGAGGAAGACCUGAUGAGGAAAUUUCUGAAUGGGAUGCGAGUAGAGAUUCACAACAGGUGCCAUGUCGCCACUUAUCACAGAUUGGGAGACUUGGUGGAGAAAGCUGCCGAGCAGGAGGCAGGUUUGGCAGAGGAGCAGAAGUACACCAAGGCAGAUCAGCCUAAGUUUGGAGGGACUUCAGAGGCACAUCAGAGGACAUGGGACAAACCGAGCAUACAAUGCUUUUAUUGUGGAAAGAUGGGACAUAAGAGUAGGGUUUGUCGGAGUAGGCUAUUUAAUGCCCAGGUUGCGCCACCAGCAGCGGCAGCAGCACCAGUAGUGGAUGUUAGGAACUGUUUUGGUUGUAACAAGCCAGGUCACAUUUCAGAGACUGUCCGAGGAGGGGUAAUGCAGCGCUUCCACCACCACCGAAGCGUUUAGCCAUCGCUCCACGUGUGUUUACGGUUGGAGAUCCCCAGGGAGCUGAGCCGAUAGCGGGUGAGACCGACGAGCAGGAGUGAUUAUCGGACCGGUGCUAUUGGGCUUUUGGGCUUCUAUCGCUUUUACCGCUUUUAUCGUUAUCGGGCCUUUUGGCGUUAUGCUAUCGUAUUGACUUUUAUAUUAUGGUGGAAAUUAUUAUUAUUAUUUGAGUUGUAUUAUUAUUUUAUUUCCGCUUUUAUCUAUUUAUUAUAUUUCGAAAGUGACGGGUGUUACAUUUUGGUAUCAGAGCUAUUUAUUUAUCGUAACAUUUUAUUAUGUAAAUCGGGGUGUCACAAUUUGGUAUCAGAGCUAUUUAUUUAUCGUAACAUUUUAUUAUGUAGUUGUCACAAAAUUGUUGGUGAGAAAAGAUACCAUCUUCAAGAAACCUUCGUCUUCUUUGUACAACGCACGAGCGGCUACGGUUCUCAAGAAAGCGUUCGAGCUAUCGGAGCUAUGCGGUGUGGAUGUGUGCAUCAUCUGGUACGACCGCGAAGGUAACCUAGUGAAGACGUGGCCUGAGAACGAGGAAGCCAAAGUUAGAGCCAUCGCAGAGCGAUACAGCAUGUUAAGCGAAGAAGAAAGGGGCAAGAAAAGAAACAACCUCUCAGGGUUUCUAAACAAGAAGAUGAUCCGCGACAAGAAGGAGUCUUUGAGGAAAAGGGAUAACAAAUUCUUCCAAGAAGUGUCAGAGCUUGAGGAUUCGUUGCAGACUCGCUUACAGACAAUCAAAGAAAGCCUUCAUCUUGAUCAACCCCAGGAUAUAUCUUCUAAUGAUUCCUCGAUAAUUAAUGCGUAUCAUCAUCAAGCAUCAUCACUAUUGAGUUAUCCGAGUAGUAGCAGCGAGAAUUGUGUUGAUGUAUCCACCACCACGUCGAUGGAUCAUCCGCGGAGCAAAUUCUCGAUCUUGUUGUUUAACCAUGAGAAUGGUGCGCUCACUCAAUUAGCCAACCCUUCUGCUCUUUCAAGCUUUGAACAACAGCCUCAGAUUCAGUGUAAUCAAGAUUAUGGUACUAAUUACAUGGAUUUAUUACUUGGGAAACAAGGCUGCAACAACUUCGAUCUUCUCAUGCCCGCCCUUUUUCCUCCUCCGAUGAUGAUGCAGACACAAACCCCAAAUUUCGAGCAGUUUAUGCAGACACAACCGGUGUAUAAUCAGAUACCAGCUUUUGGAACGAUGCUCUCUUAGGUCUGAAGAACUGAUAGUUUGACUAUAGGGUCAACACUUUUUAUUAUCUUGUGUCUGUUUGCUAUUAUGUUGUCAAUCAAUUGAAUAGAAGAGGUUCUAAUUUCGUGAGUCUA